This 392-nucleotide ribosomal RNA is filed under the name uncultured bacterium. Its description in RNAcentral is "partial 16S ribosomal RNA". It matches the Rfam family "Bacterial small subunit ribosomal RNA", at positions 523 to 918 of the family's 1533-position model. The record is from RNAcentral.
AUACGGAGGAUCCGAGCGUUAUCCGGAUUUAUUGGGUUUAAAGGGUGCGCAGGCGGCCAUUUAAGUCAGCGGUUAAAUCGUGGGGCUCAACCCCAUUCUGCCGUUGAUACUGGGUGGCUUGAUUGCGGUCGAGGUUGGCGGAAUUCGUUGUGUAGCGGUGAAAUGCAUAGGUAUGACGAAGAACACCGACUGCGGAGGCAGCUGACCAGAUCGCAAAUGACGCUCAUGCACGAAAGUACGGGGAUCGAACAGGAUUAGAUACCCUGGUAGUCCGCACAGUAAACGAUGAAUACUUGUUUUCGGCGAUAUAAUGUCGGAGGCAAAGCGAAAGCGAUAAGUAUUCCACCUGGGGAGUACGCCGGCAACGGUGAAACUCAAAUGAAUUGACGGGG